Molecule: ribosomal RNA, 897 nt
Filed under: uncultured bacterium
Lineage: Bacteria
Description: bacterial SSU rRNA
Rfam family: Bacterial small subunit ribosomal RNA
Source: RNAcentral
GCACGGCUGAGGAACACGUGGGAACCCGCCCCCCGGUGGGGGAUAACGCGACGAAAGUUGCGCUAAUCCCGCAUACGUCCUUCGGGGGAAAGUGCAGUGCGCGCCGGGGGAGGUGCCUGCGGCCAUCAGGUCGUUGGUGGGGUAAGGGCCUACCAAGCCGAUGACGGGUAGCUGGUCUGGGAGGAUGACCAGCCAGACUGGGACUGAGACACGGCCCAGACUCCUACGGGAGGCAGCAGCAAGGAAUUUUCGGCAAUGGGCGCAAGCCUGACCGAGCAACGCCGCGUGCGGGAUGACGGCCUUCGGGUUGUAAACCGCUUUUCGGGGGGACGACCCUGACGGUACCCCCGGAACAAGCCCCGGCUAACUCUGUGCCAGCAGCCGCGGUAAGACAGAGGGGGCGAGCGUUGUCCGGAGUCACUGGGCGUAAAGCGCGCGCAGGCGGCAACCUUAGUGUCGUGUGAAAGCCCCCGGCUCAACCGGGGGAGGCCAUGGCAAACUGGGUCGCUCGAGCUGCGGAGAGGCCCCUCGAAUUGCCGGUGUAGCGGUGAAAUGCGUAGAGAUCGGCAGGAAGACCAAGGGGGAAGCCAGGGGGCUGGCCGCAGCUGACGCUGAGGCGCGACAGCGUGGGGAGCAAACCGGAUUAGAUACCCGGGUAGUCCACGCCGUAAACGAUGACCACUCGGCGUGCGGCGACUAUUGACGUCGCGGCGCGCCCUAGCUCACGCGAUAAGUGGUCCGCCUGGGAACUACGAGCGCAAGCUUAAAACUCAAAGGAAUUGUCGGGGGCCCGCACAAGCAGCGGAGCGUGUGGUUUAAUUCGACGCAACCCGAAGAACCUUACCCAGACUGGACAUGACGGUGCAGACGGCGGAAACGUCGUCGCCUCCGAGGGCC